CGAAGGUUUUUGGAUCGUAAACCCCUUUUGUCAAGGAAGAAGCUCUGACGGUACUUGACGAAUAAGCCUCGGCUAACUCCGUGCCAGCAGCCGCGGUAAUACGGAGGAGGCAAGCGUUAUCCGGGAUGAUUGGGCGUAAAGCGUCUGUAGGUGGCCAGCUAAGUCUGCUGUUAAAGAUCACAGCUCAACUGUGGGAAGGCAGUGGAAACUGGCAAGCUAGAGGUUGGUAGGGGUAAAGGGAAUUCCCGGUGUAGCGGUGAAAUGCGUAGAUAUCGGGAAGAACACCGGUGGCGAAAGCGCUUUACUGGGCCAGACCUGACACUGAAGGACGAAAGCUAGGGGAGCGAAAGGGAUUAGAUACCCCUGUAGUC
Molecule: ribosomal RNA, 371 nt
Filed under: uncultured cyanobacterium
Lineage: Bacteria; Bacillati; Cyanobacteriota
Description: bacterial SSU rRNA
Rfam family: Bacterial small subunit ribosomal RNA
Source: RNAcentral